This 686-nucleotide long non-coding RNA is filed under the name Cyanistes caeruleus (blue tit). RNAcentral's name for it is "lncRNA (ENSCCEG00000006624.1)". The record is from RNAcentral. Lineage: Eukaryota; Metazoa; Chordata; Aves; Passeriformes; Paridae.
AUGAAGUUAAGCAAAGGGCCUGCGCUGCCUUGUUAUCCUCUCUUUCAAAGCAGGCUGGCAGCCACGUGUGUGGUUGUGCAGCCUAACAGACACAGAUUGUCACCAGUCAGAGGAAAACAAGGCCUGGGAUUGCAAGAAAAAGCAAUUUAUUUCAGAGCUGGGUUUGGAGGAAAACUGCCAAAGUGCUCCUGUAGGCAAAAACAAAGCAAAGGGUCCUUAUUGGACAGAUCAGAAGUUAUCAAGUUACCUCCUCAUUUUGUACACAUAUGCAAAAUAGCCACCAAACAGGCAAGUGAGAAGCAGAGCUGGGAUGCAAAUCAGCAUCAACAUCAUGGGAUGUGGGUCUGUUGGCUGUGACAACCCUGGCAAAACCACAACUGCCUCAUGCCAAGCCUUUGAAAACAUGGAAUCAUCUGGAAGAGAUGAGGUAUAGGAAAUACAGAUCCCAAGUGAAGUCAGAAAUUUGUAGUCUAGAUCUGAGAAAAAUGUUCACUGAGAAUAAGCUGAUGGAAUGCUCCCAAUCACUUGCUGAGGCAGCUGCCCAAAAUGAUUACAUUUAUGUGAAAGUGCACACUAGCACAUCCCAGGAGCAAACAGUGGAUCUCCAGGAAGAAGAGUUGGGGGUAAUUGUUGCCAGACUAGUUCUUGGUUGAUUAGCCAAAAUAAAAAUAUCCUUUAGAAACCCA